Molecule: ribosomal RNA, 1119 nt
Filed under: Triticum aestivum (bread wheat)
Lineage: Eukaryota; Viridiplantae; Streptophyta; Magnoliopsida; Poales; Poaceae
Description: partial small subunit ribosomal RNA
Source: RNAcentral
AUGCGCCAUGUUAAUUAUUGCGAGGCGCCAAAGCUGAUGGACCCAAACAUACGGAGAUAUUUACGGGACAACAGCAGCGCACAGAUUCAGAUUCCAUCUCGAAUAUUAUGGGGGAGCAAUCCGAAAAUGGAGAAGCAGCCAAUUACCGUGCAGCAGACACGAUGGCUUGGUCGGCAGGGCGCCAGGUGGCACCAGGAUAGGGUGCUCUCGCUCGCCACGUCGGCCAUGGCGCACAACAAAACCCUCGAAGGAGAUAGACGGAGAGGGAGCAGAGCAAUGGAGGCCGACAUGGACGCGAGCUUGGACUUCUUGGAGCUGGAGGCCCAUCUGGUGUUCGAUCUCGGCAACGCCGAUAGCAAACGUUGGAUGAGCCUGGCGGAUUGCUGCAGCUCGUACCUGCCGGCCGAGGACUCGCUCUCCGGCCUCGACUCCUCCGGCUACAACGACUCCACCAGCUCGCCGGACGGCGCCACCAGCUCGCGGUCCACGGCGUCGACGAGGGCCACUAGGGCGAGCAAGAACAUCGUCGAGGAGAGGGUCCGGCGCAGGCGGCUCAACGAGAAGCUCUACGCCAUCCGCGGCGUCGUCCCAAACAUCACCAAGAUGGACAAGGCGUCCAUCAUCCAGGACGCCGUCGCAUACAUCGAGGAGCUGCAGGAGCAGGAGCGCCGGAUCCUCGCCGAGGUGUCCGACCUCGAGGCCGGCGGCUGCACCGCCGUGGUCAAGUCGGCGGCCUCGACCGGUAGCGAGGGGGUGGAGGACGCCGGCGUUGGCUUCUCGCCGCGGAAGAAGAUGAGGAGGACUGCCUCCUCCUCCUCCUCCAUCAAUGACGUCGUCACUUCUCCUGCCACGCAUCCGGUCCUCCUUGAGCUGGAAGUGAUACCCAUAGCGGAGAAGCUGGCGGUGGUGAGCAUGAGGCACGACAAUGCGCAGCAUGUCAUGGCGAAGAUAUACAAGGCGCUCGAUUCGCUCCGUCUCAAGGUCAUCAACUCAAGUGUCACCGUCGUGGACGGCCGCACAGUCCACACUAUGUUCAUCGAGACGGAAGAAACGGAUAGUGUUGAGACGAUCAAGGAGAUGGUACAGGCUACACUCAGCCAUCUCGAAUUCUCGAUGUGA